CAUCUUAUUCACUGAGCCCUGAGGCCCCCCUGUUGUCAGUCCAUGUGAUCUGGACCAUCCUCCAUGCCAAGAUACUCUGAAGAAUCUUCCUGUGAGGUAGGACAUAAACCAGGAGGACAGAUCCUGA
Molecule: long non-coding RNA, 127 nt
Organism: Melanotaenia boesemani (Boeseman's rainbowfish)
Lineage: Eukaryota; Metazoa; Chordata; Actinopteri; Atheriniformes; Melanotaeniidae
Exons: 3
Source: RefSeq, a predicted model, not a curated record